This 456-nucleotide ribosomal RNA is filed under the name uncultured bacterium. Its description in RNAcentral is "bacterial SSU rRNA". It matches the Rfam family "Bacterial small subunit ribosomal RNA", at positions 340 to 790 of the family's 1533-position model. The record is from RNAcentral.
UACGGGAGGAGCAGUGGGGAAUAUUGCACAAUGGGCGCAAGCCUGAUGCAGCCAUGCCGCGUGUAUGAAGAAGGCCUUCGGGUUGUAAAGUACUUUCAGUCGUGAGGAAGGUGUUAAGGUUAAUAACCUUAGCAAUUGACGUUAGCGACAGAAGAAGCACCGGCUAACUCCGUGCCAGCAGCCGCGGUAAUACGGAGGGUGCGAGCGUUAAUCGGAAUUACUGGGCGUAAAGGGCACGCAGGCGGUUAAUUAAGUUGGAUGUGAAAUCCCCGGGCUUAACCUGGGAAUGGCAUUCAAGACUGGUUAGCUAGAGUCUUGUAGAGGGGGGUUAGAAUUCCAUGUGUAGCGGUGAAAUGCGUAGAGAUGUGGAGGAAUACCGGUGGCGAAGGCGGCCCCUGGACAAGACUGACGCUCAUGUGCGAAAGCGUGGGGAGCAAACGAGGAUUAGAUACCCGU